This 962-nucleotide unclassified non-coding RNA is filed under the name Hevea brasiliensis (rubber tree). Lineage: Eukaryota; Viridiplantae; Streptophyta; Magnoliopsida; Malpighiales; Euphorbiaceae. The record is from RNAcentral.
GAAUACCAAGCAUCUAAUCGAGAUAUCUCGAUUGUAACUCCAGCUUGAAAGCGAACAAGCUCCCCUUUAAAACCAGCAGCAAGCACUGCAGCAAGAAUACCACCAUCAUGGAACUUAUGUGGCCCAAGCCCAUCAUUUCCUGUUGCUAAGCAGCGCAAUACAACCUCAACACAAUAGUUGUCUCUGGACGAUAUAGAGACAUUCACCAUUAUUUGGCGAUUUAAUACUUCUUCCUCACUGACAGAAGAGUAAAGGGCGCUCAUUAACGUUGUGCAUAAGGUGGCAUCGGGAGCCAUACAAUCACCAGCUGAUGAACAAAGCAUCGCAGUCGCAUGCAACUCCAGGAAAACAGGUUCAUCACUUUCCAAUACGCGAUCUUCAGUUGGAACUAACCAUGGAUUUUCUUGCCGUUGUAGAAGCGAGAGUGAUGUAUCAAGUGUUUCUCUAGCUGCUAUAACUUCCUUCUGCUUCUCCUCAUCUGAGAGUUCAACUGGUGAAAUUUCUGCGUUCUCUAGCUCAACCUUUAGCCAGUUGCGAUAAGUUGCAUCACAUGAAUAGAACUCACUCCAAUCCUGGAACUCCUUUAGAUUCUCCGAGAACUCAUAACUCUCAAUGGAAACAAGCUCAUCUGAGAGUUGUUUCAAUGGCUCAGCCAGUAAACUGAGCAAAGUAUGAGCGCCGAUGGGCAUUGCUGGAACCCUCCACAUUGAAAUAAGAGCAAAUUCCCUGAACAGCACAUUGCUGUGCAUCAACGCCCGGAAAAGAAGUUUCAUACUAACAGACGUAGAAUUAUUGAUUGUUGAAGGAGGUGUAAAACAAAGCCACUGAAUUACCAUAGCUUUCUGAAGGCUCUGCAAUCGAUGCUGCUCUGCAACAUCAGUUUCACUAUCAUAUUUCCCAACUCUGAUUUCACGAGACCUUGAAAGAACCCUUUCAAUGAUCUCCUCAAAACUGCCCUUCGA